UGCUGCAAGCUGCCUGCGGACGCUCCUGCCCCGUUUCUGCCGCCAUGCUGCGCUCCUCUUCAGCCUCCGUCCUUGGCCUCCUUCGGGGGGCUGCCGCAGCUUGCAAGAUCCGCGCCCAGCCGAACCUGUCCCAGGUUUGUUCACCUUUUGCCACAGGACCUAGGCAAGAAGAUGGCACCUUCUAUGAAAUUCGUACUUACGAUAUCAAGCCAGGAAAGGCAAAGGAUUUUCUGGAGUUGGUCAGCAGAGAUAUUAAUGCUCGUCUGGCUCACUCAGAGAUGAUUGGGUUCUGGACAGCAGAGCUGGGGGCAAUGAAUAAGGCCUUGCAUAUUUGGAAAUAUGAUAGUUUUGCUCACAGAACAGCAGUAAGGAAAGCUCUACUUGAUAAUAAAAGAUGGCAGGAAACAUUGUCAGAACUGCUCCCACUUGUAACAAAACAGCAUGCGGAAAUUGCUUACUUGGUCCCUUGGUGCACACUUGGGACUCCACCAAAACAGGGAGUUUAUGAGUUGGUGACUUACCAGAUGAAACCAGGUGGCCCAGCACUGUGGGGGAGGACAUUCAAAACUACGGUUGAUGCACACGCCAGUAAGAACUAUGCCAAACUCAUCGGUGUCUUCCACACUGAAUAUGGAUUACUUAACACAGUUCAUGUGCUUUGGUGGUACGAGGACCCAGACAGCCGUGCAACUGGGAGGCACAUUGCCCAUGAAGAUGCCAGGGUGGUAGCAGCUGUACGGGAGAAUGUUCAGUUCUUGGAAUCCCAGCAAAACAUGCUUCUGAUUCCUGCACCUUUUUCGCCUUUGAAGUAGUUCUCUGCCAGUCGAAGGGCAACAGAUGGUGGCAUCCGUCCUGCCUGUACUUUGGACCUUGUUAGCAAUGCAGGCUGUGCUGUACAAUAUUUUAUAUGAUACUUCACUGUAGCCAUCCUUGCUGAGAGACAAGAGCUGCCCCUGGAUGUGGCAGACACCUUUGAAAACUGAAGACUUCCUCACCACUUUCCCGGCCUCGCUUCUGCUCUUUUUCUCAAGAUAGACCUGUGAACUUCGGUAGACAAUACAUUGCUUUUUAUACAGUGGAAGCUUCUGAAGUAACCCCCCUGAAGAAUUCAAUGGGACUUGCUCUCAGGUAAGUGAGUGUAAUUUUUAUUUUCAGGGGACAAACAAAAUCAUUUUAGUUUGCCAUUGGUGAUCUAGGAUGGUUUUAAUUUUAAAGCUGCAAUCCUAAAUAUACUUUUUAUGGAGCAAAUCUCAUU
Molecule: RNA transcript, 1255 nt
Organism: Varanus komodoensis (Komodo dragon)
Lineage: Eukaryota; Metazoa; Chordata; Lepidosauria; Squamata; Varanidae
Gene: NIPSNAP3A
Gene name: nipsnap homolog 3A
Exons: 8
Source: RefSeq, a predicted model, not a curated record